RNAcentral lists this ribosomal RNA (492 nucleotides) under uncultured bacterium. Its description in RNAcentral is "partial 16S ribosomal RNA". It matches the Rfam family "Bacterial small subunit ribosomal RNA", at positions 29 to 507 of the family's 1533-position model. The record is from RNAcentral.
AGUGAACGCUGGCGGUAGACCUAACACAUGCAAGUCGAACGGCAGCACAGUAAGAGCUUGCUCUUACGGGUGGCGAGUGGCGGACGGGUGAGGAAUACAUCGGAAUCUACUUUUUCGUGGGGGAUAACGUAGGGAAACUUACGCUAAUACCGCAUACGACCUACGGGUGAAAGCAGGGGAUCUUCGGACCUUGCGCGAUUGAAUGAGCCGAUGUCGGAUUAGCUAGUUGGCGGGGUAAAGGCCCACCAAGGCGACGAUCCGUAGCUGGUCUGAGAGGAUGAUCAGCCACACUGGAACUGAGACACGGUCCAGACUCCUACGGGAGGUAGCAGUGGGGAAUAUUGGACAAUGGGCGCAAGCCUGAUCCAGCCAUACCGCGUGGGUGAAGAAGGCCUUCGGGUUGUAAAGCCCUUUUGUUGGGAAAGAAAAGCAGCAGGUUAAUACCCCGCUGUUCUGACGGUACCCAAAGAAUAAGCACCGGCUAACUUCGUG